RNAcentral lists this ribosomal RNA (2919 nucleotides) under Lactiplantibacillus plantarum. RNAcentral's name for it is "Lactobacillus plantarum 23S ribosomal RNA". It matches the Rfam family "Bacterial large subunit ribosomal RNA". Lineage: Bacteria; Bacillati; Bacillota; Bacilli; Lactobacillales; Lactobacillaceae. The record is from RNAcentral.
UUAAGUUAACAAGGGCGCAUGGUGAAUGCCUUGGCACUAGGAGCCGAUGAAGGACGGGACUAACACCGAUAUGCUUCGGGGAGCUGUACGUAAGCUAUGAUCCGGAGAUUUCCGAAUGGGGCAACCCAGCAGUUUUAAUCAACUGUUACCACUAGAUGAAUUCAUAGUCUAGUUGGAGGUAAACGCUGUGAACUGAAACAUCUCAUUAGCAGCAGGAAUAUAAAGAAAUUUCGAUUCCCUAAGUAGCGGCGAGCGAACGGGGAACAGCCCAAACCAAAGUGCUUGCACUUUGGGGUUGUAGGACUGAACAUUUGAGUUACCAAAGAACUUGAUAGUCGAAGGAUUUGGGAAAAUCCGCCAUAGAUGGUGAUAGCCCAGUAGAUUAAAUCAAAUUCUCUCAGUUCAGGAUCCUGAGUACGGCGGAACACGUGAAAUUCCGUCGGAAUCCGGGAGGACCAUCUCCCAAGGCUAAAUACUACCUAGUGACCGAUAGUGAACCAGUACCGUGAGGGAAAGGUGAAAAGCACCCCGGGAGGGGAGUGAAAUAGUUCCUGAAACCAUGUGCCUACAAUAAGUCAGAGCGCGUUAAUGCGUGAUGGCGUGCCUUUUGUAGAAUGAACCGGCGAGUUAUGAUCCCGUGCAAGGUUAAGACUAAAAAGUCGGAGCCGUAGCGAAAGCGAGUCUGAAAUGGGCGAUUUGAGUACGAGGUUAUAGACCCGAAACCAGGUGACCUAUCCAUGUCCAGGUUGAAGGUGCGGUAAAACGCACUGGAGGACCGAACCCGUGUAAGUUGAAAAUUGCUGGGAUGAGGUGUGGAUAGCGGUGAAAUUCCAAACGAACUUGGAGAUAGCUGGUUCUCUCCGAAAUAGCUUUAGGGCUAGCCUCGGAUUAAGGAUCAUGGAGGUAGAGCACUAUUUGGACUAGGGGCCCGUCUUGGGUUACUGAAUUCAGAUAAACUCCGAAUGCCAUUGAUUCAUGUCCGGGAGUCAGACGAUGAGUGAUAAGAUCCACCGUCGAAAGGGGAACAGCCCAGACCAUCAGUUAAGGUCCCUAAAUGUAUGCUAAGUGGAAAAGGAUGUGGAGUUGCAUAGACAACUAGGAUGUUGGCUCAGAAGCAGCCACCAUUUAAAGAGUGCGUAAUAGCUCACUAGUCGAGUGAUCCUGCGCCGAAAAUGUACCGGGGCUAAGCAUACUACCGAAACCAUGGAUGCGACCAUUAGGUCGCGUGAUAGGAGAGCGUUCUAAGGGCGGUGAAGCAAGAUCGUGAGGACUUGUGGAGCGCUUAGAAGUGAGAAUGCCGGUAUGAGUAGCGAAAGAUAGGUGAGAAUCCUAUCCACCGAAUGACUAAGGUUUCCUGGGGAAGGCUCGUCCUCCCAGGGUUAGUCGGGACCUAAGUCGAGGCCGAGAGGCGUAGACGAUGGAUAACAGGUUGAGAUUCCUGUACUAGUUAAGUGCGUUUGAGCAAUGGAGGGACGCAGGAGGCUAAGAUGUGCAUUCUGUUGGAUUAGAAUGUCCAAGCAGUAAGUCUUGUGGAGAGUUAAAUGCUUUUCACUUUAAGGACAAGCUGUGAUGGGGAGCGAAAUUUAGUAGCGAAGCGUCUGAUGUCACACUGCCGAGAAAAGCUUCUAGUGAGUACUUAACUACCCGUACCGCAAACCGACACAGGUAGUCGAGGAGAGAAUCCUAAGGUGAGCGAGUGAACUCUCGUUAAGGAACUCGGCAAAAUGACCCCGUAACUUCGGGAGAAGGGGUGCUGAUCGCAAGAUCAGCCGCAGUGAAUAGGCCCAGGCGACUGUUUAUCAAAAACACAGGUCUCUGCAAAAUCGUAAGAUGACGUAUAGGGGCUGACGCCUGCCCGGUGCUGGAAGGUUAAAAGGAUGGGUUAGCUUCGGCGAAGCUCAGAAUUGAAGCCCCAGUAAACGGCGGCCGUAACUAUAACGGUCCUAAGGUAGCGAAAUUCCUUGUCGGGUAAGUUCCGACCCGCACGAAAGGCGUAACGAUCUGGGCACUGUCUCAACGAGAGACUCGGUGAAAUUAUAUUGUCCGUGAAGAUGCGGACUACCCGCGACAGGACGGAAAGACCCCAUGGAGCUUUACUGUAGCUUGAUAUUGAGUGUUUGUACAGCUUGUACAGGAUAGGUAGGAGCCAUAGAAACCGGAACGCUAGUUUCGGUGGAGGCGUUGGUGGGAUACUACCCUCGCUGUAUGACCACUCUAACCCGCACCACUAAUCGUGGUGGGAGACAGUGUCAGGUGGGCAGUUUGACUGGGGCGGUCGCCUCCUAAAAAGUAACGGAGGCGCCCAAAGGUUCCCUCAGAAUGGUUGGAAAUCAUUCGCAGAGUGUAAAGGCACAAGGGAGCUUGACUGCGAGACAGACAGGUCGAGCAGGGACGAAAGUCGGGCUUAGUGAUCCGGUGGUACCGUAUGGAAGGGCCAUCGCUCAACGGAUAAAAGCUACCCUGGGGAUAACAGGCUUAUCUCCCCCAAGAGUCCACAUCGACGGGGAGGUUUGGCACCUCGAUGUCGGCUCAUCGCAUCCUGGGGCUGUAGUCGGUCCCAAGGGUUGGGCUGUUCGCCCAUUAAAGCGGUACGCGAGCUGGGUUCAGAACGUCGUGAGACAGUUCGGUCCCUAUCCGUCGCGGGCGUAGGAAAUUUGAGAGGACCUGUCCUUAGUACGAGAGGACCGGGAUGGACAUACCUCUGGUGUACCAGUUGUGCCGCCAGGCGCAUCGCUGGGUAGCUACGUAUGGAUGUGAUAAACGCUGAAAGCAUCUAAGUGUGAAACACACCUCGAGAUGAGAUUUCCCAUUCCUUUAUGGAAGUAAGACCCCUGAAAGAUGAUCAGGUAGAUAGGUUAGAAGUGGCAGUGCGGUGACGCAUGAAGCGGACUAAUACUAAUCGGUCGAGGACUUAACCAA